Molecule: long non-coding RNA, 2812 nt
Filed under: Brassica napus (rape)
Lineage: Eukaryota; Viridiplantae; Streptophyta; Magnoliopsida; Brassicales; Brassicaceae
Description: long non-coding RNA (BNAP_LNC000312)
Source: RNAcentral
GGAACAUUAAUAUUAAACUCAAUUAUGGAGGAUUUAUUACCCUCGCCAUUAUAACUCUAAAGCACGAAACUUAUAAUAACCACGAGAACCAAUCCUAGAGAGACCGCCCUAGGACUCACCAAACCGGCCGAAUUGUGAGCUUUCGCUGGUCCUGGAGCCGGAGCAAGAGCUUCAGAUUCAGAAAGAACCACUCUCGGAGAAGGCGCAGGAGAUGACAAAGCCUGAUGGCUUGGAGACAGAGUCGAUGACGGUGAGGGCGAUGGAGAUGGCUGACGAGGACUGUGGCUGUGGUGGGCGGUGGACAUGACCUUGACGGGUAGCUUCUGACCUUUGAGACAAUUUUCUGAGUUGCCGCUGACAAAAAAGAACGGACCUGAGCGGCUAAGAACAUAGAGAGAGUCUCCGUCCGUGAGGGAGGUUAUUGGGUGAGUAGUGUUGCAUGUGUUGAAUUCUUCUUCACUCACCUCCAACACUGAAUCUUUCCCCUUAGGGUACUUAAAAUCUAGCAAAAUCAAAAGUCAAAAUAGUUGAUAUAUAGUAUCAUGAAUUAUGAUGUUAUUAUUAUGACAUUAACACAUGAAUGUGUAUAUAGAAGAGAAGAGAGAGAGAGACUUACAAAGAGUGUCAUUGACCUGAAACCGGCUUCGAUAAGACCAAUGAGAAUAGUCCUCGGAUGGAGUAAGGACCCAACCAUCUCUCCCACCGACAUAGAACUUGUACCCAUUUGAAAACCCAAUUGCAAACCCCAAACUCAUUAACAUCACAGUCAUCAAAUAGGCAUCAAACCUUUUGAUCAAACCCAUCCCUCCAAACUUUAACUAGACCUCAAAUAAAUCAGUCUCUUGAAAUGUGUGUUGCUCUUCAGUGCUUGUAUGCGUAUUUAUAGUGAAAGUAGAGAAGUCAUAGCCGUUAACUUUUGGCUGCAUCAACUUCGACUCUCUAGAGAAUAUGCAAAAUUAAUAAGAAGCGUUUCAAGUUUUGCUCCUCUUUUGUUUUCUUCACACGUUUCAACAUGCAAUGGACUUAACGGCCAUCUCUCUUCUUUUCACACAUUUCAUUUACUCCCUCCUCAAAUCACAAACAACCAUUUAAAACUAGAUCUUCUAAUUUGUCAGUCAUUUAAUAUAAAGCUGAAAUUCAAUUUUCUUAAAAAAAUAACUUGCGUAACGUAUUGUCUUCAUUUUAUAUAAGAAAAAAAAAGUAUACAAAUGAGCUAAAAGCCUAAAAAAACCAACUAGAAGGAGUUCAAAAUAAUUAAAAAACUAAUGUGCUUUUAAAUGAUCAAGUAUGUUAAAAGAAAGGCUUUAAGGAUUUUAUCCUCUAUAUUUGCAGCCCAACUAGUUGGACAAUAUUAGAAUAAACUAUUUACUAUUUUCUUGUAACAGAACAUAUUUCAUCCUCUACGUUUAAAGCCCAACUAUUUCUAUAAGUGGAUGGAUGCUUUCUUCAGUAUGCCUAGCUUAGAGAGGAGCUAAUUGUGAAGCUUCAAAAUAUUCUUCAGCCACGUCUAUUUAGCUUCUGAUACAGCCAGCAAUCUUCUACUGCUUCCUCUACAGUCUGCAGAAAACCCAAACCCUAGUUUCACUAGAAGUUGUGAGAUGGAAAAGCUGGAACCUCUAGGGGUUUUGGGAUCAGAGUUCGAAACUCGAUAAUGGAGCGACCAGGUUUGUGUUUUAGAUUUAUCUUCUUAUCACUAUUGAGCUGAUCACACUUUAGUGAAAUGCCCACCAUUGACUAUAUUGAAGCUCUGUGAUAAUUGCUUGGCCUUUGUGGAACCAUGCUUUCUAAUUGAAUCUUUUGUCAAAUAAUUGUGGUAUGUUUUAGCUGUAUGUCAAACAAUAUGAAACAGGUGGUGCUGGUUCUUUUAGUAAAGACGGAUAGACACUUGUGUUCUGUAUAAACUGUAUAAUGUUACAAUCUUAAGUGAAUAUUCUUUCACCCACAACCCAAUCUUCCUCACAUUUCUUGUUCCUCCAUUUUCUUUGAAUCCCUAUGUGUAGGAUGGGGCAGGAGCAGGAGCAAGGGAAGGUCCUGCAGCAAACGGAGACGCCUGAGGAGCCACGGCUGAGCAUUCAUGGUCAUAGCAGUCUACAGGGUGGUCAAGUACAUCUUCACAGACUUUGUGGCUCCGUUGGUGGGGUUUGUCAGGCAGACAGUUGUUACUAUCGUCAAAGACUAUUCCUCUGGAAGUCAGGUUCCUGCAGAUACCUUCUUCUUCAGAGAAAUAGUUGUCAGAGACGGUAAGGUUCUGCAGGCUAGGCAGAACGCAGACUCCAAGAGGGACAGCGCCAGUGAACAUGUUAUGGUCCAGAUUCAGCAGCUCAAGAUGUCCUAGCCCAGCGAGACUGUAAGGCACAGGACCAACUAAAGCCCUAGGACUCACCAAACCGGCCGAAUUGUGAGCUUUCGCUGGUCCUGGAGCCGGAGCAAGAGCUUCAGAUUCAGAAAGAACCACUCUCGGAGAAGGCGCAGGAGAUGACAAAGCCUGAUGGCUUGGAGACAGAGUCGAUGACGGUGAGGGCGAUGGAGAUGGCUGACGAGGACUGUGGCUGUGGUGGGCGGUGGACAUGACCUUGACGGGUAGCUUCUGACCUUUGAGACAAUUUUCUGAGUUGCCGCUGACAAAAAAGAACGGACCUGAGCGGCUAAGAACAUAGAGAGAGUCUCCGUCCGUGAGGGAGGUUAUUGGGUGAGUAGUGUUGCAUGUGUUGAAUUCUUCUUCACUCACCUCCAACACUGAAUCUUUCCCCUUAGGGUACUUAAAAUCUAGCAAAAUCAAAAGUCGAAUUAGUUGAUAUAUAGUAUCAUGAAU